Small nuclear RNA from Monodelphis domestica (gray short-tailed opossum), 107 nucleotides. The record is from Ensembl. Lineage: Eukaryota; Metazoa; Chordata; Mammalia; Didelphimorphia; Didelphidae.
GUGCUAGCUUCAGCAGCACAUAUACUAAAAUUGGAACAAUACAGAGAAGAUAAGCAUGGUCCCUGUGCAAGAAUGGCAUGCAAAUUCAUGAGGUGUUCCAUAUAUUU